RNAcentral lists this ribosomal RNA (484 nucleotides) under uncultured bacterium. RNAcentral's name for it is "partial 16S ribosomal RNA". It matches the Rfam family "Bacterial small subunit ribosomal RNA", at positions 30 to 507 of the family's 1533-position model. The record is from RNAcentral.
AUUGAACGCUGGCGGCAGGCCUAACACAUGCAAGUCGAGCGGAUGAAGGGAGCUUGCUCCUGGAUUCAGCGGCGGACGGGUGAGUAAUGCCUAGGAAUCUGCCUGGUAGUGGGGGAUAACGUCCGGAAACGGGCGCUAAUACCGCAUACGUCCUGAGGGAGAAAGUGGGGGACCUUCGAACCUCAGGCUAUCAGAGGAGCCUAGGUCGGAUUAGCUAGUUGGUGGGGUAAAGGCCUACCAAGGCGACGAUCCGUAACUGGUCUGAGAGGAUGACCAGUCACACUGGAACUGAGACACGGUCCAGACUCCUACGGGAGGCAGCAGUGGGGAAUAUUGGACAAUGGGCGAAAGCCUGAUCCAGCCAUGCCGCGUGUGUGAAGAAGGUCUUCGGAUUGUAAAGCACUUUAAGUUGGGAGGAAGGGCAGUAAGUUAAUACCUUGCUGUUUUGACGUUACCAACAGAAUAAGCACCGGCUAACUUCGUG